RNAcentral lists this unclassified non-coding RNA (385 nucleotides) under uncultured Phycisphaeraceae bacterium. RNAcentral describes it as "contains 16S-23S intergenic spacer region". The record is from RNAcentral. Lineage: Bacteria; Pseudomonadati; Planctomycetota; Phycisphaerae; Phycisphaerales; Phycisphaeraceae.
UCCGGUUUGACACCGGCAGUCUCGCUAGAGUCCCCGACAUGACUCGCUGGCAACUAGCGACAGGGGUUGCGCUCGUUAAGGGACUUAACCCGACACUUCACAGCACGAGCUGACGACAGCCAUGCAGCACCUGUGCACGUUCCACCCUUGCGGGUGUGGCUCCUGUUUCCAAGAGUUAAUCCGUGCAUGUCAAGCCCAGGUAAGGUUCUUCGCGUUGCUUCGAAUUAAGCAACAUGCUCCACCGCUUGUGUGAGCCCCCGUCAAUUCCUUUGAGUUUUAGCCUUGCGACCGUACUUCCCAGGCGGUGCACUUAACAAUUUCUCUCCGACCGACAGCGGGUCAGACCGCUCCCGAUCCAGUGCACAUCGUUUAGGGCGUGGACUAC